CCGGUUGAUCCUGCCAGACCCGACUGCUAUCAGAGUGGGACUAAGCCAUGCGAGUCAACGCCGAAAGGCGUGGCAUACGGCUCAGUAACACGUAGUCAACAUGCCCAAAGGACGUGGAUAACCUCGGGAAACUGAGGAUAAACCGCGAUAGGCCAAGGUUUCUGGAAUGAGCCAUGGCCGAAAUCUACAUGGCCUUUGGAUUGGACUGCGGCCGAUCAGGCUGUUGGUGAGGUAAUGGCCCACCAAACCUGUAACCGGUACGGGCUUUGAGAGAAGGAGCCCGGAGAUGGGCACUGAGACAAGGGCCCAGGCCCUAUGGGGCGCAGCAGGCGCGAAACCUCUGCAAUAGGCGAAAGCCUGACAGGGUUACUCUGAGUGAUGCCCGCUAAGGGUAUCUUUUGGCAUCUCUAAAAAUGGUGCAGAAUAAGGGGUGGGCAAGUCUGGUGUCAGCCGCCGCGGUAAUACCAGCACCCCGAGUGGUCGGGACGAUUAUUGGGCCUAAAGCAUCCGUAGCCGGUCUUGCAAGUCUUCCGUUAAAUCCACCUGCUCAACAGAUGGGCUGCGGAGGAUACUACAGGGCUAGGAGGCGGGAGAGGCAAGCGGUACUCAGUGGGUAGGGGUAAAAUCCUCUGAUCCACUGAAGACCACCAGUGGCGAAGGCGGCUUGCCAGAACGCGCUCGACGGUGAGGGAUGAAAGCUGGGGGAGCAAACCGGAUUAGAUACCCGGGUAGUCCCAGCUGUAAACGAUGCAGACUCGGUGAUGGGUUGGCUUCGCGCCAACCCAGUGCCGCAGGGAAGCCGUUAAGUCUGCCGCCUGGGGAGUACGGUCGCGAGACUGAAACUUAAAGNGAAUUGGCGGGGAG
This 864-nucleotide ribosomal RNA is filed under the name uncultured archaeon. RNAcentral describes it as "bacterial SSU rRNA". It matches the Rfam family "Archaeal small subunit ribosomal RNA", at positions 4 to 875 of the family's 1478-position model. The record is from RNAcentral.